UCCUGCCAGUAGUCAUAUGCUUGUCUCAAAGAUUAAGCCAUGCAUGUCUAAGUCCAAGCUGUGUUCACACGGCGAGACCGCGGACGGCUCAUUAAAUCAGUCGUGGUCCAAAUGGGCCAGUGCAAAUCCUACUUGGAUAACUGUGGUAAUUCCAGAGCUAAUACAUGCAACUGAUAUCCCGAAGGCGGUGUUGGGGCUUGCUUGCCUUGCGCUGCGCUGCUCUGACGGAUGCUUUUAUUAGACCAAGCCGCUGAGGACUUGAGGGUUCGCGCUCUCUUGUUUGACUCGUGUGAUGGUGACUCUGGAUAACCAAAUUCUGACAAGCGCACGUACUUCUCUUCUGAGCGAGACGGCGCUGCCACUUUCGAGUGUCUGCCUUAUCAGCUAUCAACCGUUCGUUAUGCGCGACCGAUGGCUUUGACGGGUAACGGGGAAUCAGGGUUCGAUUCCGGAGAGGCAGCCUGAGAGACGGCUACCACGUCCAAGGACGGCAGCAGGCACGCAAAUUACCCAAUCCCAGCAAAUGGGGGAGGUAGUGACGAAAUCUAACGAUGCGGGCGCCCUUUCUGGGGCCCCGCAAUCGGAAUGGGCACUUUCUAAACAACCUGUUGAGAACCUACUGAAG
This 625-nucleotide ribosomal RNA is filed under the name Eulimnogammarus verrucosus. Its description in RNAcentral is "SSU rRNA". It matches the Rfam family "Eukaryotic small subunit ribosomal RNA", at positions 12 to 553 of the family's 1831-position model. The record is from RNAcentral. Lineage: Eukaryota; Metazoa; Arthropoda; Malacostraca; Amphipoda; Eulimnogammaridae.